RNAcentral lists this ribosomal RNA (463 nucleotides) under uncultured bacterium. Its description in RNAcentral is "partial 16S ribosomal RNA". It matches the Rfam family "Bacterial small subunit ribosomal RNA", at positions 339 to 795 of the family's 1533-position model. The record is from RNAcentral.
CUACGGGGGGCACCAGUGGGGAAUCUUGCGCAAUGGGCGAAAGCCUGACGCAGCAACGCCGCGUGAGCGAAGAAGGCCUUCGGGUUGUAAAGCUCUGUCAGGGGGAAAGAAGGCACCUGGGUUAAUAGCCCAAGGGCUGACGGUACCCCCAAAGGAAGCCACGGCUAACUACGUGCCAGCAGCCGCGGUAAUACGUAGGUGGCAAGCGUUGUCCGGAAUCAUUGGGCGUAAAGCGCGCGUAGGUGGUUUGUCAGGUCCGAUGUGAAAUCCUGGGGCUCAACUCCAGGCGUGCAUUGGAAACCGGCUUACUAGAGUCUGGGAGAGGAGAGUGGAAUUCCUGGUGUAGCGGUGAAAUGCGUAGAUAUCAGGAGGAACACCAGUAGCGAAGGCGGCUCUCUGGAACAGUACUGACGCUGAGGCGCGAAAGCUAGGGGAGCGAACAGGAUUAGAUACCCUAGUAGUC